AGUAAGACAGGUGGUCGCUGCUGCAGGAACGAAAGGCUGCAGGGGAGGAAAGUCCGGGCUCCACAGGGCAGGAUGCCAGAUAACGUCUGGUGGAGGCGACUCCAAGGACAGUGCAACAGAAAUAAACCGCAGGAGAGAUCCUGUAAGGGUGGAAAGGCAGUGUAAGAGACUACCGCCUUCCUGGCAACAGGGAGGGCACAUGUAAACCCCAUCCGGAGCAAGGCCGAACAGGGGGCAUGGGCGGCCCGUCCGCCCCCGGGUAGGCCGCUGGAGCCUGGCGGUGACGCCAGGCCUGGAUAGAUGAUCACCCAACGACAUAACCCGGCUUAUCGUCUUGCUCA
This 341-nucleotide RNase P RNA is filed under the name uncultured Lachnoclostridium sp. RNAcentral's name for it is "Bacterial RNase P class A". It matches the Rfam family "Bacterial RNase P class A". From Rfam's summary of the family: Ribonuclease P (RNase P) is a ubiquitous endoribonuclease, found in archaea, bacteria and eukarya as well as chloroplasts and mitochondria. Lineage: Bacteria; Bacillati; Bacillota; Clostridia; Lachnospirales; Lachnospiraceae. The record is from RNAcentral.